UAUGCGACGUUACUGAGAUCGGGCAGGGCGAGGCGGCCAUGGCCCCGGCUCCGGCCCCGGCCCCGGCUCCGGCCCCAGCUCCGGCCCCGGCCCCGACGGCGGAGGCGGCGGCCACCCCCUACGUGGGGCUGCGGCGGCCCCUGGGCUACCAGCUGGCCAAGGCCACCAAGGAGCGCAUCUGGCGGGGGGAGUUCAUUGACCUGUUUUCCUUGCUCCACACAGAGCUGGCCCCCGAGCACGGCCCGCGGCCGGGGGACACGCUGGACCAGUGGGUCUCCGCCUUCCUGGUGUACGCCAGCGUGGUGUGCGAGAAGCACCCGGCGCGCUGCGGGGCCAUGUUCAAGUACCUGGACACCAUCCGCAAGCUGCACGCCACCUACGGGGGCACCUCGUGGAUGAGCUACGACGAGGACUUUCGGCGGCGGGCGGCCAAGGACCCCAACCUGCCCUGGGGCGACGUCGACCUGGACCUCUGGAUGAAGUGGAUGGCGCCCCUCAAGUCGCUCAUCAGCAGGCACCACCGUGCUGAGAGCGAGCCGCAGGCCGCGCCGCCACCACCGCUGCCGCCACCAUCCUCGUCGUCGUCCCAGAGCCCCAAGCAGGAGGAGAAAAGCCAGACUCCAUGAAAACAGAAGGCCAGUUGGAAUGGCAGUCAGACUAAGUGGGUUUCUUCGGUUCCCAGCAACUCGCUACUGCAUGGAUGCGUGUAUGGCAUUGGCACUGGGUGAAUCCUGCCCUUACAGCUCCUGAGGUUGUCAUGUCCUUGUUGAGUCAGCGUGCUGGCUGUGCUGAAGGGGUGACGCAGGACCACGGAUCUUCUGUUCAUCAUUGAUUCAUGAGUAGAUUUCUUCUGGUGAUUGCAGGCGAAGCUUGCUGUCACUUACAUGAUACGUCAGACAGCAUGGAGGCGCUGAUAUCUGCUGCCUGAAAGCAGAUGUUGAAGAUAACCAUUUAACUGAGUGACGAGUGAAGACACAGCACACAGUAG
This 988-nucleotide long non-coding RNA is filed under the name Anas platyrhynchos platyrhynchos (common mallard). Its description in RNAcentral is "lncRNA (ENSAPLG00000020590.1)". The record is from RNAcentral. Lineage: Eukaryota; Metazoa; Chordata; Aves; Anseriformes; Anatidae.